AUUUGUCUGUUACAGCCCAUGAUUUAUUUGUUUGUUACAGCUCAUGAUGUAUUUGUCUGUUACAGCCCAUGAUGUAUUUGUUUGUUAAAGCUCAUGGUGUAUUCGUUUGUUACAGCCCAUGAUGUAUUUGUCUGUUACAGCCCAUGAUGUAUUUGCUUGUUAAAGCUAAUGAUAUAUUUGUUUGUUACAGCCCAUGAUGUAUUCGUUAGUUUGAAGCAGACCAUGAUGUAUUCGUUUGUUAUAGCCCAUGAUUUAUUUGUUUGUUACAGCCCGUAUAUGCCAGAAUGGAUGGAGGGAACACAACAACCACUGCUACAAGCUGAUCACAGACAGAGUAGGCUGGUACUCCGCGAACAGCCGAUGUAAAAAUCAGCGUGCAAAUCUUGCUUCUAUUCAUAGCAUGGCCGAGAUGAACUUCAUUAAUUCUUUGAUCACUAACGCCCCUCAAGAGGAUCAACCAGUGGUCUGGUUUGGAUUGAAACGGCAGCACGGUGGGUGGAAGUGGUCAGAUGGAUCCAGGCUUUUCUACAGUAACUGGGCUCCAGGUGAACCCAACCGCAAAGCCCUCUUGACUUUAGCUGCUGAGUGCGCUGGUAUAGCCUCCAAGACUGGCAAACAGUGGUUCUUGGGAACUUACAUGAAGAAGGGACACUGGAAUGACCAACGAUGUGAAGCUAGAUUUGCGUACAUAUGCAAAAAUUAAUUAAGAAUAAGAAGAGGAGCUCCAAAAUAAGUUUCGAAGUGACGACAACUUGAUUGAUCUCUGUGGAAACAUUGAAGGAAAUGGUUCUUAUUUGAAAAUUGGGAAGCGAGGUAAAGGGAAGAAGGAUCUUUAUCUAUUUUCAUAUCUACAUUUAUGUAUCAUUUGAAACAACCAACGCAAUAAUUAUAUGUCGGUGUAGGACCCAAAUUGAUACGCAACAGUUUAUCAUCGUAUCUUACAAAAAAUGAUUAUAUGUCGGUGUAGGACCCAAAUUGAUACGUAACAGUUUGUUAUCGAAUCUUACAAAUGUUAAUGUGAUGGAUAAGGAAAUUCAUUCAAAACAAUUAAGCAAGAGUCACAAGGUCUCCUCUGCUUUUAAUUGCCUAUUUUUUCUAUAUUUGAUCUAAACGUUUUAUUAACAUAUGUGCGGACCAAUUAUAUACAUUUGUAAGUAACUGCACUUUUAUACAAUGUGUACAAUCAGUGACACCAUAAGCAUGCACACAACACUUGUUUACGUAUUUGUCAAGAAAAUAAAUUGACUUGAGUAUAACCUUUUGAUUAGUGAAGUUUAUAUAAAACAGAUGUGAUGAAUGUAAAACAAGAAUAGUGUACAAAGUCAGGAAAAGACGUAGGGACAGGAAGGUUGUACUAAAUUGGUCAAGUAAUAACAAUGUAUCUUUCUAGCCUGACUAAAAUCGCACUCCUAGUCGCCGGUCCUACAGUUGCCACCACCUAGAAGGGGGUCAUUAACCCCAGCCAGCGAGAGUUUGUUAAAACACAGGCUAUGUUUCUUUGUAGAGAAAGUGAAUAAUCAUGUGCUUGGAGAUCAUUAUAGCCUGUUACAGUGUAGCACCUUGUCCAAUCCUAUAAAGCAUGUAAAAGUAAGAUUCUUCUCUUUCAGAUAGAUGGAAAGUUGCUCGUUUGUUAAAUAAAAAUGCCUCAAAUGAACAACAUCACAGUUUUUUUUAGCAAUUCUAGUCCAUCAGUGUAGAAGAAACUAAAAUCUAGACAAGUAUAAAAUUGUUGAGGUUGAGUACUACCGUGUUACCUGUAGUUGAUUAGGUCACACCACUUGACUUUAUUUUUUUUAUCAAAAAUAGAAAUAUGCUGAACUACUAACAUAGUUUGUUUCAAUGUCUGUAUGCUGUAUUUUUCUAUAAGACCUUUUGAAGUUUUCUCUGCCUGUUUUCAUAACAUCCUUAAGUACUACAGACGUACUUUAAAAUGUUCAAGAACUGAGGAAAUAAAUCGAUGUGUUCUUAUUUAACUUCACUGAAGCUGUGGAGUU
Molecule: long non-coding RNA, 1994 nt
Organism: Branchiostoma floridae (Florida lancelet)
Lineage: Eukaryota; Metazoa; Chordata; Leptocardii; Amphioxiformes; Branchiostomatidae
Exons: 3
Source: RefSeq, a predicted model, not a curated record